UCUGUAAUUUGCCCAUAAAACUCAUAAAACGUUUUAUCCACUUUGGGAGAAAAAUCGAGCCUUCAUUUUCCUGUCAAUGUCAAAAUCCUGUGAAAACAAAUUCCAGGCAGCUUCAACAGCAGGCAGCAGGGGAGGAUACUGAACCCACCAAUCCGACCGGACCAAGAUCAGUCAGCACACCACAGCUGUUGCCGAACUGGACACAGCCGCUGGGAGAAACAUCAAAGACAAGCAGUGCUAACAGAGCUGUUACUGCUGGAAAUGCUAACAGAGCUGUUACUACUGGAAAUGCUAACAGUGCUGUUACUGCUGGAAAUGCUAAUGGAGCUAGAACACCGGUACUGGAUGUGAAACCACUAUGACACCAGACGAAGUUCGGACAUUAACAACCGAUAACGAACCGACACAGCGCUAUAGAGUUACUUACCAGAUCACACAGUCCGACCAGAGAUCGAUUUCAGUGCGCUCUGGUUCAAUUUGAAAAGGCUUAAAGACGUUACUCAUCACUGUUUUGGCUGGAUGGAGCAAAGGCAGUUGGACCAUUACACAUCAUUUACCCAGAAUGCAUUGCAGUGUGAACAUGGUGACUUUCCUGUGACAAUAUUUUCUAAAAUGUAUAAAAACUAAGUAACAUACAGUAUUAUUACUGUAUUGUUUUUACAUCUAAAAUAAAUAUUUCCCAAAUAAA
Poecilia latipinna (sailfin molly) is the source of this 688-nucleotide long non-coding RNA. RefSeq lists it as uncharacterized. The record is from RefSeq and is a predicted model, not a curated record. NCBI's taxonomy places the organism in Eukaryota, Metazoa, Chordata, Actinopteri, Cyprinodontiformes, Poeciliidae. The transcript has 3 exons.